This 323-nucleotide long non-coding RNA is filed under the name Zostera marina. Its description in RNAcentral is "long non-coding RNA (ZMAR_LNC000172)". Lineage: Eukaryota; Viridiplantae; Streptophyta; Magnoliopsida; Alismatales; Zosteraceae. The record is from RNAcentral.
CUUCCUUGAUCUGUACAUGUACUUAUUUUGCGAUUUGGAAUUAUGGUUAAUGUGGUUCGAAGUCGACACUCAACCACCCAUGAUAUAUGAAUUUAGGAUGAUCGAUCAAUCGAUCAAAGAAUCAAUGAAAAAAAUCCUGCCCAAAUUUCAAUAUUCAAACCGCAAAUGAAAGAAAACAUCCAAGUUUGAUAUGACUAAAAAAAUAUUGAAAUGUUAAUGUAUGUAGUGUAUUUUUACUUAAAGAGGAAUUUCAACGAACACCUUGAAUGCAACAACAAACUUAUAAAUAGAUUUUAUUUUCUAAAACAGAUUAAUUUCAACCU